GAUGAAGAACGCAGCGAAAUGCGAUAAGUAAUGUGAAUUGCAGAAUUCAGUGAAUCAUCGAAUCUUUGAACGCACAUUGCGCCCACCAGUAUUCUGGCGGGCAUGCCUGUCCGAGCGUCAUUUCAACCCUCGAACCCCUCCGGGGGGUCGGCGUUGGGGAUCGGCACUUACCUGCCGGCCCCGAAAUACAGUGGCGGUCUCGCCGCAGCCUCUCCUGCGCAGUAGUUUGCACACUCGCACCGGGAGCGCGGCGCGUCCACGGCCGUAAAACAACCCAAACUUCUGAAAUGUUGACCUCGGAUCAGGUAGGAAUACCCGCUGAACUUAAGCAUAUCAAUAAGCGGAGGA
This 348-nucleotide unclassified non-coding RNA is filed under the name soil metagenome. RNAcentral's name for it is "partial contains 5.8S ribosomal RNA, internal transcribed spacer 2, and large subunit ribosomal RNA". The stretch from base 1 to 120 matches the Rfam family "5.8S ribosomal RNA", at positions 35 to 154 of the family's 154-position model. The record is from RNAcentral.